RNAcentral lists this non-coding RNA (163 nucleotides) under Patescibacteria group bacterium. Its description in RNAcentral is "6S RNA". It matches the Rfam family "6S / SsrS RNA". Rfam says of the family: E. coli 6S RNA was the first non coding RNA to be sequenced, but its function was unknown until recently. It consists of 184 nucleotides that fold into an extended hairpin structure with a large single-stranded internal bulge. The record is from RNAcentral.
GCUUUGCUGAAAUAUACGCUUUCUUAUUGAUCACUUUUUUUUCUUUAUACAUCACAUUAAGGGAGUCUCAUAUUUAAUCCCGCCAUGGCGGGAUUGUGCGGACACCCACCUUGCUUAUCAGGGGAAAAUAAUGUGCAUAUAAGGGCGGUAUUUUGGCUUUUUA